UCAAUAGUUACUGAUUUAUCGCAGUUUUUGUGUUAUUGUAAAUUACCGUUAUAUGGUAGGUGCGCGUAGUCAUUGCCCGGUUUCGAAUAUUUUAAACUGAUGAAGUUAAGAAAC
This is a long non-coding RNA of Rhagoletis zephyria (snowberry fruit fly), 114 nucleotides long. RefSeq lists it as uncharacterized. The record is from RefSeq and is a predicted model, not a curated record. NCBI's taxonomy places the organism in Eukaryota, Metazoa, Arthropoda, Insecta, Diptera, Tephritidae.